Molecule: long non-coding RNA, 888 nt
Organism: Brassica oleracea var. oleracea
Lineage: Eukaryota; Viridiplantae; Streptophyta; Magnoliopsida; Brassicales; Brassicaceae
Exons: 5
Source: RefSeq, a predicted model, not a curated record
ACGUUCGUCUCUGCGAAUCAGAAGAAAACCGAAAGUCAAAAAGAUGGGUUGGAUGGGAGAAACCAUAGAUUCAAUAAAAUCCAUUCAGAUCCGUCAGCUUCUCACUCAAGCCAUCAGUCUUGGGAUGAUUGUUACGUCUGCUUUGAUCAUAUGAAAAGCUUUGAUGUGUGUCACUGGCAGCGAAUCUCCUGUCGUUAUUGUUCUAUCUGGAAUUACGGAAUCUGGAUUUAAAGGUAACUGAACUUUGUAUCCAUUACAUUUUGCUUGCAGGUGCUUUGAUCAUACUCUAAAACAUAGUGUGUAUCAUCAUGUACGGGGAUACUUUCAGUGUUGCUGGUCGUGAUAUUCCCAUUGUACGUCGUGUCAUUAAGGGUCACGAAAGGGAGAUUACAUAAGAAGUGGAUGUUUUGACAAAAGGUGUUGGUUCUGCUGAUUUGGAAUGACACUUAGUGGCAAGAAACUACGUUGGGGACUUUGUAUUAACUUCCCUACAGUAUCAAUCAUAUUGUCUCCCUAAGUGUUCUUUUUAAGACUCAGCUUCAAGCCUUCAACAAUAUCAAGUUGAACAUCAGCUCAGGAGAGAAGUAGACAUUCAGUCUAUAUUCGGGAACUGUGGCUUACAGUUAUUUUUAUGAUGAUGCAAAAUCACUACACAGUUAUCAUGAAGUCUUCGAUAAGAAAAGUAUUCAAUCAAGACACUUACAGGGAAUGAAAAGAAGAAAUACUGGAUCAUAAACAAGUUCAUCUGAGAUAAAAAAAAUGGGUUAAUCUGAGAUACUACAAACCGUAGCCGCCACUUGCUUCUGUCUUUUGAUGUUGGGCAAAAAAAACUUCGUUACUAUCAUAAAUCCUAACCAAAACAAAACUUUUUGGAGAAGAAAAAUGGUA